RNAcentral lists this ribosomal RNA (512 nucleotides) under uncultured bacterium. RNAcentral's name for it is "partial 16S ribosomal RNA". It matches the Rfam family "Bacterial small subunit ribosomal RNA", at positions 28 to 507 of the family's 1533-position model. The record is from RNAcentral.
GACGAACGCUGGCGGCGUGCCUAAUACAUGCAAGUUGAGCGAGCGAAACUAACAGAUUUACUUCGGUAAUGACGUUAGGAAAGCGAGCGGCGGAUGGGUGAGUAACACGUGGGGAACCUGCCCCAUAGUCUGGGAUACCACUUGGAAACAGGUGCUAAUACCGGAUAAGAAAGCAGAUCGCAUGAUCAGCUUUUAAAAGGCGGCGUAAGCUGUCGCUAUGGGAUGGCCCCGCGGUGCAUUAGCUAGUUGGUAAGGUAAAGGCUUACCAAGGCGAUGAUGCAUAGCCGAGUUGAGAGACUGAUCGGCCACAUUGGGACUGAGACACGGCCCAAACUCCUACGGGAGGCAGCAGUAGGGAAUCUUCCACAAUGGACGCAAGUCUGAUGGAGCAACGCCGCGUGAGUGAAGAAGGUUUUCGGAUCGUAAAGCUCUGUUGUUGGUGAAGAAGGAUAGAGGUAGUAACUGGCCUUUAUUUGACGGUAAUCAACCAGAAAGUCACGGCUAACUACGUG